GACGAACGCUGGCGGCGUGCUUAACACAUGCAAGUCGAACGGAAAGGCCCUGCUUUUGUAGGGUGCUCGAGUGGCGAACGGGUGCGUAACACGUGAGUAACCUGCCCUUGACUUUGGGAUAACUUCAGGAAACUGGGGCUAAUACCGGAUAGGAGCUCCUGCUGCAUGGUGGGGGUUGGAAAGUUUCGGCGGUUGGGGAUGGACUCGCGGCUUAUCAGCUUGUUGGUGGGGUAGUGGCUUACCAAGGCUUUGACGGGUAGCCGGCCUGAGAGGGUGACCGGGGACAUUGGGACUGCGGGACGGACCAGACUCCUACGGGAGGCAGCAGGGGGGAAUAUUGCACAAUGGGCGGAAGCCUGAGGCAGCAACGCCGCGUGCGGGAUGACGGCCUUCGGGUUGUAAACCGCUUUCGCCUGUGACGAAGCGUGAGUGACGGUAAUGGGUAAAGAAGCACCGGCUAACUACGUG
This 468-nucleotide ribosomal RNA is filed under the name uncultured bacterium. RNAcentral's name for it is "partial 16S ribosomal RNA". It matches the Rfam family "Bacterial small subunit ribosomal RNA", at positions 28 to 507 of the family's 1533-position model. The record is from RNAcentral.